GAGGCCCAGGCCGUGGAGGGAGGCGGGGGCAGCCCGAGGUGACAGAACCCGCGGGCCCCGCGAGGGGACAGCGGCGCGGGCGUGUGUCGGCCAGGAGCCGGCCGGCAGACCCAGAGCGCGCGCGCCGGAAUGGGAUUGCUUUUCACCGACGGGGAAGCGAGCGGGACUGAUCAGCGGUCGGUUUUUCAGGUUCUGGGUUCUGGGUCUUAAUAUUUAUGCAGAGGUGACCGAAAGCCUUGAGCAUGGGAGGAAAAUCUAGAGGAUAUAUGGCUAUCAGCCUAGAACCAGAGAGAACCACCUGACCAGUACCUGGAAAGAAACAUGCAUGCUGGAUGUUAUGCAUUAUGUUCUGAUGGAUUGUACUGAUGGACCCUGUACUUAGGCCAUGUGAAUACACAGAGACAAAUAAGAAAAACAUCAUGUGAAAAUAGAGAUUGGAGUGAUGGGUAUCUCCCAGCCAAGAAAUGCCAAGUAACCACCAGAAGCAAGAAGAGAGGCAUAGAGAGUAGAUUCUCCCUCAGAACCUCCUGAGGGCAUCAAACUGCCAACACCUUGAUUUUGGACUUCAGCCUCCAGAAUUGUGAGAGAAUACAUUUCUGAUGUUUUAAGCCACCCAGUAUGUGGUACAGAGGUAGGUACAUUGCUGCAAAAAGUAUAAUAGGCUUUUAAUGCAGUAGCUGUGGCAUCUGUGACCAGGGUGAUUGCCAGGAUUGACUUAGAGAUCUAGCAUCUUAGCCGAGAGUUCCCUUUCCCUGAGAGCUCUGUAUGUGUCCUUCCCAAAGUAUCAAUGCAAUCAAAAAGAAUGACAUUUGCAAACUGACAAAGUCUAUUCUCAAUCAAGAUAUACAGGGAGUUAUACUCCCUGGCUAGAUCUUUCCAAUAAA
Long non-coding RNA from Lutra lutra (Eurasian river otter), 884 nucleotides. RefSeq lists it as uncharacterized. NCBI's taxonomy places the organism in Eukaryota, Metazoa, Chordata, Mammalia, Carnivora, Mustelidae. The transcript is spliced from 3 exons. The record is from RefSeq and is a predicted model, not a curated record.